UGCCAGCCGCCGCGGUAAUACGGAGGGUGCAAGCGUUAAUCGGAAUUACUGGGCGUAAAGCGCGCGUAGGUGGUUUGGUCAGUCAGAUGUGAAAGCCCCGGGCUCAACCUGGGAACUGCAUCUGAUACUGCCAGACUUGAGUACAGUAGAGGGGUGUGGAAUUUCCUGUGUAGCGGUGAAAUGCGUAGAUAUAGGAAGGAACACCAGUGGCGAAGGCGACACCCUGGACUGAUACUGACACUGAGGUGCGAAAGCGUGGGUAGCAAACAGGAUUAGAUA
RNAcentral lists this ribosomal RNA (279 nucleotides) under uncultured bacterium. Its description in RNAcentral is "partial 16S ribosomal RNA". It matches the Rfam family "Bacterial small subunit ribosomal RNA", at positions 506 to 784 of the family's 1533-position model. The record is from RNAcentral.